Molecule: transfer RNA, 83 nt
Filed under: Erysipelotrichaceae bacterium
Lineage: Bacteria; Bacillati; Bacillota; Erysipelotrichia; Erysipelotrichales; Erysipelotrichaceae
Description: tRNA-Leu
Rfam family: tRNA
About the family: Transfer RNA (tRNA) molecules are approximately 80 nucleotides in length. Their secondary structure includes four short double-helical elements and three loops (D, anti-codon, and T loops). Further hydrogen bonds mediate the characteristic L-shaped molecular structure. tRNAs have two regions of fundamental functional importance: the anti-codon, which is responsible for specific mRNA codon recognition, and the 3' end, to which the tRNAs corresponding amino acid is attached (by aminoacyl-tRNA synthetases). tRNAs cope with the degeneracy of the genetic code in two manners: having more than one tRNA (with a specific anti-codon) for a particular amino acid; and 'wobble' base-pairing, i.e. permitting non-standard base-pairing at the 3rd anti-codon position.
Source: RNAcentral
CCCCGGAUGGCGAAAUUGGCAGACGCGCACGACUCAAAAUCGUGAGGGAAACCGUGCGGGUUCAAGUCCCGCUCUGGGGACCA